Long non-coding RNA from Adelges cooleyi (spruce gall adelgid), 1429 nucleotides. RefSeq lists it as uncharacterized. The record is from RefSeq and is a predicted model, not a curated record. The transcript has 3 exons. Lineage: Eukaryota; Metazoa; Arthropoda; Insecta; Hemiptera; Adelgidae.
CUUGUUUUUACACACAGAGGCACACAUUCUCUGUAAUGAAUAUUCUUUAAUUUCCGGACUAUUAGCAUUGAUUUAAAUACAAGUAUUAGCUCAGAAGUUAUAUAUGUUGCUGUUAGAAGUUAGAUCUGUCCUGCGGUUAAUAGAUUAAAUCAGAAGUCAGAAUGUUUUUUUACGAUUUUGUCCGAUAACGAGCUAAACUACUCCUAGUGUCACCUCGUAAUAAAAACAUUUUUAUUCACCGUUUUACUUGAUAUACGGUCAUACUGUUGUACAGAAUUUCAAUCGUUUUUUGGCGGGCAGAUACCCUAUUAUUUUUGAUUUUUCUGUGUUACUUUGUUGCUACUUGCUGUUCAAUUUUCGACUUUAUAUUUUUCUUUGAGGUAAGUCGAUUACAAUGGACUUUUUCCAUUAAUACUAACAGACGUAAAAUAGCCAAAUGUUGUUUAAAAAACUGUAAGAGUUUAGAAGUAGAUCCAAAAUUAUUAAGUCACUUUACUUUUCCGAAGUAUCUUUCUAGAUUUGCUGUUUGGAUUACCACAUCUAAAAACUGUUGAUGUAUCAAGUUUAAAUAAUAAAUAUAGAUUGUGUUCAAUGCAUUUUGAAAACUGUAUGUUUAAAAAUGAACAGGAGAACCGUCUUACAUCUGAUGCUAUACCGAAAUAAUUUGAAAGUAUACCAGAGCAACAAAUUGUUGAAAAUCAAAUCAAUGAUGACCAUGAGACUAACGAUUGCUUGCCAUCAUGUUCAUCACCAGAUACAACUACUGGCUAUUCAACAAUUUUCGUAUCGGAUGUAUCAACAUCAACAAAUGCAAUAGAAAUGAGUUCUACGCAAUCUCAAACUCCACCAUCUCUAUCGAAUAAAACUCCUUCACUAAAAAAAAUACACCACCUGAUAUUUACAUAAGAAACUUUCAAAGUAUUCUGGAAGACUAUACAACAUACCAGAUGGUAUACACGGAUGCCUCAAAAUCUGUAUAAGGAGUUGGUAUUGCAAUAAUAUUUCACAACAAAAAAGUACUCCACAAACUCCCUGAUAGAUGUUCCAUUUUUACUGCUGAAGCAGCAGCAAUACUUACAGCCAUACAAUUAAUAAAUACUGAAGAAAAUUCAAAUUAUGUUAUCUUUAGCGAUUCUCUGAGUGUACUAAAUGGUAUUAAAAAUAGAUUCAACCCGGGAGAUAAUAUAAUCAAAAUCCAAAAUGAACUUGAGGAAGCAAAGGACAGAACAAACCAGAUUAUACUCACCUGGAUCCCUGGACAUUCCGGAAUGGAUGGCAAUGUCAGGGCAGAUGAGCAGGCCAAAAUCCCUGUAAGGAGUACCGAGGCGUCCGUAUUGAACAUUAUCACUUAUGGUGACAUCAAAAAACAUAUCAAAGAGAUAUCAUACAAUGAAUGGGCAACGAUAUGGAGACAAAAAAAAAAAACAAA